AAUACAUUUUUUGCUAAGAAUGGUUAUCGAUUAAUGGAUUCCAGUAUGUAUAGUCAGCCCAUUCAUACACAAGCACAGUAUGCCUCGCCAGUCUUUAUGCAGCCUGUAUAUAAUCCUCAUCAACAGUACUCGGUCUAUAGUAUUGUGCCUCAGUCUUGGUCUCCAAAUCCUGCACCUUACUUUGAAACACCACUGGCUCCCUUUCCCAAUGGUAGUUUUAUGAAUGGCUUUAAUUCACCAGGAUCUUAUAAAACAAAUGCUGCUGCUAUGAAUCUGGGUUGACCAUUCCAAAAAAAUCAUGUGAAGCCUCAUUUUAGGUCAUCCAGUGGUUCAGAACACUCAACAGAGGGCUCUGUGUCGUUGGGGGAUGGACAGUUGAACAGAUCCAGUUCAAGGAACUUUCCAACUGAACGGCAUAACCCUACAGUAGCAGGGCAUCAGGAGCAAACUUACCUUACAAAGGAAUCUCCCACUUUGCAGAUGGAACAGAAUGGGGACUAUGGUAGGGGCAGGAGAACUCUCUUCAGAGGUCGAAGACGACGAGAAGAUGAUAGGAUCCCAAGACCCCAUCCUUCAACAGCUGAAGCAAAGGCUCCAACACCAAAGUUUGACUUACUAGCCACAAAUUUUCCUCCUUUACCUGGAAGUUCAUCAAGAAUGCCAGGUGAACUUGUUUUGGAGAAUAGGAUGUCUGAUGUUGUUAAAGGUGUCUACAAAGAAAAGGAUAGUGAAGAGCUGAGAGUUAGUUGCCCAGUGCCUGCAGAAGAUGAGCAGACAGACUGCACUUCUGCCCAGCAGCUCAGUAUGAGUACCAGUCCUCCAUGUGCAGCUGAGCUUCCUACAUUAAGCACAACUCAGCAAGAAAAGGAUUUAAUAGAGGAUUCUACUGUUCAGAAGGAUGUUCUCAACGAGAUAACUAUACCAGUUUCUUCCCCAACUACUGCGAAGCCAUCAAGGGCAAAUACUGCGUCACCAUGUAAUAGUAACAUAAAUGCAGCUGUAGCUGUGUCCCUACAGGACCCCGAAAGUUAAGCUAUGCUGAGGCGUGCCAGAAGCCCCUAAAGACCCAUCUUCAGUUCUUGUGCAGCCACUACGGGAACUUCGCUCCAAUGUAGUGUCUCUCACCAAAAAUGAAGAGAAUAGAGCUCCUGAGAAGUCUGUUGAGAAACCACACGAGAAGCCAGAAGCAAGGGCUAGUAAGGAUUAUUCUGGCUUCCGAGGCAAUACCAUUCCCAGGGGAGCAGCUGGAAAAAUCAGGGAACAGAGACGCCAGUUUAGCCAUAGGGCUAUACCUCAGGGAGUGACUCGACGUAAUGGCAAAGAGCAAUAUGUGCCGCCCAGAUCACCAAAGUAAAAAGAAAAAACAAAACAAAAACUAUUCAUACACUUCUCUCUCUUCCCAUUAAACCUGAGCUGUGGCUAUACUGAACUGUUUUGGAGGGGAGGGGUUAACCAGGAAGGAAGCAGGAAAAAGUAUGUCCUUAAGUGGUUAUGGAUUUUGGAGUUGUGAACAGUAGGAUCCCAAAAUUCAUCCCUAAUGUGAUUUUUAAGUGCUGGAGGAUUCCAAUCAGUAUAUAUAUAUAUUAUACACAUAUAUAAAAAGUAUAAUUUUUCUAUUUUUGUUUUUGAUUUUAAUUUGCAGAGAUUUUCUGCCUGGAAUCAAUUUUGAGGGUUCAGAUUUAGCUUGGGGGGAAAAAUACCUUAUACAUCCUUCAGUAUAGGAGAUGAGGGAGUGAGAGAAAAUAUUUUUUGAACAAGCAUUUCUGUAAAAUUAGAAAUUACUUUUUUUAAUCUAUUUAAAGUUUGGCUUGGAGAAUGCCAUCUCUGACUAUAUGGCCUUUUGUUGCAAAGCAGAUUGGUGGCUGGGGUGCCUGUUGUGGGUGUGAGUGUGUAGAAGAGCAAUUGAAGCUAAAUCUAUUGUUGUGUUAGUAAAUGAUUUGAAAACUGAAUGUAAUACUUGAGUAGUUUUUUUUUUCCUAGUUUGAAAUUUAGUCUGUCUUUUUGAUCUUACUAAUAUUUCAUUCAAGAAGUUAUUAAGCUCUGAUUGUACUUGGAGAUGUGACUACCAAUCAGUUUGAUACUCAAGGAAAGAAUAGAGAUUAUUUAAGAAAUUGAAAAAAAUUUCAUCUUAGACCUGAGUAGAUAGGUCAAAUGGACUUGAGAGGUUUAAACUACCCUGUGAUUUUUCCCCCCUAACAUGGGAAACAAAAGUUAUUUUUGUUAAUCUAUGUUACUCUGUUCUUUGCCCUCCCCCAAAAGCAAAAUAACCACCUACUGAAUUGUAUGUUUGUAACUGCUUUGACCAGUGUAGUUAAAUCAUACAAGUGUUCUAAAUUUCACAUUUGAACAUUGAAGUAUUUACUCUUCUGUUCAUAUAUUCAGAAUUUUAGGUCCCAGAGUGGUAGGGCAAACUGACCCUACAAUAAUUUAUUUGUGUUAGUGUUAAAGAUGAAACAUUGUAACUGACUCUUAAAGUGUUAUAGUGUAAAAGUAAAAAGAAACUUUUUUAAAAAGCUUAAUUUGUGGGGAACUUUUUUUCUGUUUACAAUGUAUUUAUCACCUUCCUUCCCCUCCCAUUCUUAAAAAAAAAAUGCAAUGUGGAUUUCACUGAAACAGAACCAGCAAGUCAGGAGAUUUUUAAGUUACGAUGAGGUAAGUGGUUGAAGAAAAUUAAUGCAAAAUUUCUCAGUGAAUAAAGUUGUAGCUCUCACAUAUUAAAUAGGCAAGUUUACAUGCUGGUAUUUGGGAAAUAGCUAAAAUAUUAAAAACCAUGUUGCAUUAAUCUGUUUUAAGUCAUACCAUGUUCAGAGUUCUAUGUAAGGUGGGUUUUAUUUUGCUUUUUAUGGAUAGUUUAUAGUAAGAACUGUCCCUUAUGUUAGUGAAUUACAUAUGUACAAAAUGAAACUGUAAAUUGUGAACACUGGAAAGCACCAUUGUGACAUAGAGUAAACAUCUUAGUAAUAUAUUAAAAUGAAUGUAAAUGGAGGUUAAAAUUACAUUACUGUGAAUGAAACUCAUCUUCCAACUCUAAGUUAAGCUUUGGAGAUUUGUAUUAGUGGGUAACUGUUAAGAGCUUUGAAAACACUGCACAUUUCUGUACAAGCCAGAAUUAUUAUUUGUAACUUAUUAUUCAGCUUGGCAAUUGCUUUUGAUUUGUUGGAUUUUAUAACAUGGUAUAACAUAUUUACUCAGUUUGAAACUAUUCAUUUCUACACACUAUUUUUUAAAUCACCUACUAGAUGGAACAUACAAUAAAACUAUCUGUGCUGAAAUUUGGGGGAAGUUUAGGUCCUUUUAAAAACAAGUAUUAAUAAUCAUUGACUACAUCUAUGAUAAAACUUCUUAUUUUGGUUUACUUAGAUAAUGCUGCAGUUGGUGGAAAUGAUAAAUGUUAAAUUGUUAGCAUCUGUGAAUGCAUUGGAUUUAAGAGAAUAAACAUUUUGUAAAAAU
Non-coding RNA from Microcebus murinus (gray mouse lemur), 3450 nucleotides. The record is from RefSeq and is a predicted model, not a curated record. Lineage: Eukaryota; Metazoa; Chordata; Mammalia; Primates; Cheirogaleidae.